This 111-nucleotide ribosomal RNA is filed under the name Dasypus novemcinctus (nine-banded armadillo). The record is from RNAcentral. Lineage: Eukaryota; Metazoa; Chordata; Mammalia; Cingulata; Dasypodidae.
AUCCACGGCCAUACCACCCUGAAUUCGCCUGAUCUCGUCUGAUCUUGGAAGCUAAGCAGGGUCAGGCCUUGUUAGUACUUGGAUGGGAGAAAGAUAGAUCAGAUAUUGAAA